This 70-nucleotide transfer RNA is filed under the name Loxodonta africana (African savanna elephant). It matches the Rfam family "tRNA". From Rfam's summary of the family: Transfer RNA (tRNA) molecules are approximately 80 nucleotides in length. Their secondary structure includes four short double-helical elements and three loops (D, anti-codon, and T loops). Lineage: Eukaryota; Metazoa; Chordata; Mammalia; Proboscidea; Elephantidae. The record is from Rfam by way of RNAcentral.
GCGGUCGUGGUUCAAUGGUAGAAUUCUAGCCUUCCAUGCAGAGACUUGGGUUCCAUUCCCGGCCGCUGCA